This 253-nucleotide ribosomal RNA is filed under the name uncultured bacterium. RNAcentral's name for it is "partial 16S ribosomal RNA". It matches the Rfam family "Bacterial small subunit ribosomal RNA", at positions 524 to 776 of the family's 1533-position model. The record is from RNAcentral.
UACAGAGGGUGCAAGCGUUAAUCGGAAUUACUGGGCGUAAAGCGAGUGUAGGCGGUUUGGUAAGUCGGGUGUGAAAGCCCUGGGCUCAACCCAGGAAGUGCACUCGAUACUGUCAGGCUAGAGUAUCGGAGAGGUUGGUGGAAUUCUCGGUGUAGAGGUGAAAUUCGUAGAUAUCGAGAGGAACACCGGUGGCGAAGGCGGCCAACUGGACGAAUACUGACGCUGAGACUCGAAAGCGUGGGGAGCAAACAGG